CAGUAGCCACAGGAAUACGGAGGGGGCUAGCGUUGUUCGGAAUUACUGGGCGUAAAGCGCACGUAGGCGGCUUGGUAAGUUAGAGGUGAAAGCCUGGAGCUCAACUCCAGAAUUGCCUUUAAGACUGCCGAGCUAGCAGGUGAGAGAGGUAAGUGGAAUUCCGAGUGUAGAAGUGAAAUUCGUAGAUAUUCGGAAGAACACCAGUGGCGAAGGCGGCUUACUGGCUCAUACUGGACGCUGAGGUGCGAAAGCGUGGGGAGCAAACAGGAUUAGAUACCCCUGUAGUCCCUGUCUCUUAUAC
This 301-nucleotide ribosomal RNA is filed under the name uncultured bacterium. RNAcentral describes it as "partial 16S ribosomal RNA". It matches the Rfam family "Bacterial small subunit ribosomal RNA", at positions 509 to 807 of the family's 1533-position model. The record is from RNAcentral.